Molecule: long non-coding RNA, 5355 nt
Organism: Parus major (Great Tit)
Lineage: Eukaryota; Metazoa; Chordata; Aves; Passeriformes; Paridae
Exons: 7
Source: RefSeq, a predicted model, not a curated record
GGCGGAACCUCGGCGGGCGAGGCGGGGCCGGCGCCUCCGAGACCCCGGGGAGGGGAAGGGCUCGGCCCGGAGCCGCCUGCCGAGCGGGAGGUGGCCGGGGCAGACCGGGGCUGGCCCCGGCGCCGCCAAGUUCUGACAUUUUUGGAGAACAAAGCACAUGCCAGGAUCCGGCAUGGUGUCAGAAUGUGCCCAGGUGAAUGAGAAAAAUGAGAGCACCGGCAGCGCAGUUCCUGUCUCCUGCUGCUGAGGGGGAAUUGACAGACAAGUCCCACUCCUGAGGAUGUGAUGUCUUGGGUGUCCAUGUCCUGCUGCUCACUCCAUCAUGCAGAAGUGACUCCACCAUUCUGCUUUUCCAGCUCUGCCUGCUCUCAGCAAAACACAACUGCAGCAGGAGCAGCCUCCCCAGGCAGACAUGUCUCAGCCCUCAGGAAACCUCAAACCCUGUUUCCUCAUCUCACAGUAGCUACCUCCAUGUCUUUAUUAAUCUGAAUAAAUUUGGUGAGGUCCACGCUGACAACAGGAUGAUACCAGCUGGGAUCUACCUUUCUGAUCUGAAAAUAUGAGGAUUACUCACAUGUCUAAAAAUAAGCCAUGCUGAAAUUCCCUUGUUGGAUUAAGAUCUAAACCCUGCAAUUGUCACUUUUCCCACCAGUGUCAGUGGCUUAACUAAAUAUACUGUCCACAUUGCUGCCUGAUAUUCCCAGAUUGUUUCUCUUUCCCCUUUCACUGGAACUUCCCCAUGUUUCUGUGAGUUUAUUUUACUUUUUGGUUGGUUGCUUGUUCUUUUCACCAAUUCAUCAUCUUUCCUGCUACAUUCCUUUCCCCAGCCAUGUAUGAUCUCCCAUCCUGUCCUUUCCAUUUCUUCUCCAAGGUUUGCCACCCACUGCUUCAAAUUUGGGAGAAGAUAUCCAAACAACAAAUUUCUGCAAGUGGUGGAAAAAGUAUAUACAAAUUUAUCCUGGAUUUGUGUCUCUUCCAUGCAAGAAAGGGUAGAAGUAUUCCCAGGGCUGGGCCUGGUUAUUGUAACUGAUGUGUCUGAUGUGACCAGGGCAGCAGACCUGACCAGCUGGGACUGAUCCUGACGUGGGCACCAGGCUUUUCUCCAUCACCUGGUGUUUGAAAUGUCUGCUAUUAUGGAAAGAGCAAAGCUGAGCUCCACAAAGGACAGCCCUUGCAGGGUGAGGGUGAAGGAGGAUGGGGAUCUGGACCUUGACCCUUCCCAUCCAAAACCUCAUCCAUCUACUUAGGAGGAAGGUAAAGCAAUCCUGCAGACAGGGGAGACAGAUGAGAAGUGAGUUUGGAGGCACAGGCUCAGCGUGGAAGCUCCUGGUAUCCCCAGAGUGCGCUGGGACAACCAUGCCUUCCCACAUGCCUGAGAUCCGGAGAAGGAAACUCUGCAUGAUGUAAGCAGCUGCAAGGAGGAGUAAGGAAGGAGCCAGCAACAAGAAUCUGGGUAAAACUUCAUGUGUCCCAUGUCUCUUCAUGGUGGAUACCUGUUUCACACAUGGUGGGUGAGAAAGCUCCCAGGAAAUGAUUUCAGAAUAUGCACAAGGUUAAAAGAGAAUUGUUGUUUUCCUGCUGGCUACAGAGAAACAAGAGUACAACUACACACCUGGCUGCAACCAUUUAAUUACUGGAAAUUUGAAUUACUGGAAAUCUGAAUUUCACUGGAUGCAUUUAAAAAUAAUAGCUGUAUUUGCCAGUGAGGCUUCUGAUACAGUGACAAGAGGAGCUCCUAAGGUAUUUGUGGGAUUUUCACUUCUGGAAUUGGUUUAUCUGGUGUUAAUGAAAAUCUAGGCUAUAUUUACAAGUUCCUUCCAUUGCCAGUCAGAAUUGUUUUCCAUAGAUUCCAGGUCCUGGGGAAGGGCCCAGAGUAAUGAAUAUGGCAUUUCCUGUCUGGGAGUUGGACCUGUGUACCCUAAGUAUGUGUGCGUGUACCCUUACACAAACUAACACAACCCUUCUUGUUUAUCUAGUUCAGCCUCUUGUGAAAUACUUUUACCAGAUUCUGUUCAUUUUCAGCCCAAUUGCUCUGAAUUUAAUUACCUAAUCUUGCUAAAACUGUUUAAAUGCAAUUAGCCAAUACAAUUAUCCAAUAAUAGAAUAAGUCCAAAAAUUAAAAGCAGCAGAAAGAAAAAAGAGGGGAGGACAAAAGAAAACAGAGGCAUUUCCAUCAGAUUUUUUAAAAUUAAUUUUCCUAUUUGGCAGUAUGGAGGGAACAACCCUCUGUAGGUAGAAAAAGAUUGGUUCCAAAGUGGGAAGAAAACAACUCUGCCUUAUCACUAGAAUUCACUCUUUAAAAACAGCUUUCUGUCUGAAAAUGCUAACCCAGGGGAGACUUUGUGCCAUUUUCCCUGAGGUCCUCUUCAGGCCCCUGGAGACAUGAGAGAUGGUGUUGUCUUGUUCCACAUGAGCAGGAACAACAGUGGUCAAUGUCCCAUAAAGAAAAAUGCAUCCAGAACCUGCUGGAGCUGGCUGGUGAUGCUCUCCCGUGAAAGAUGCUGAGUUUUGCAGGAACCUUUUGGGGACGAAGUGGGAACUUUGCUCCAGAUGUGCAGGCACAUGCUGUGUCAUGCACAGCAGCAGCAUCUCAAAAGUUUGCAUCCCCCUUCAGCCAAAAUGGCCCUUCCAAGGACAUCAUAUGGUCAGUGACUCAGCCUUCACUGAGAGGCCCUGAGGUUGAGGGCUCCUGAUCAGCUCAGUCCCUUUCUUUGCCGAUUCCUCACCUUUUUCUGCACCAUGUGAAAAACCGCAUUAAACAUCCAGACGCCAAAUGAACACAGCUCUUCCAGCUCAGUAAUGGAGGUUAUAAGCCAGAUUAGCAAGUCAAGACUUAAUUCUAUGUAUUCACUUUUCAUUCUUUAAUUCUUAAUUAAGCAAGAAACCUUGGCCAUAAAUUAGUAUGAUUAAAGCAAAUUAAGCACUGUAGAGUACACCCUUAACUGUACAGCUCACGUAAUUGUGCAAAUCAUAGGUUGCUCCAUCUGUACUUGUUUGCUUAGCCCACUCUGGACAAAGUCCUAGUAGAUUUUGAGCAUUUAAUUGUCAACUCUUCUUUUUUUACGGUUCACUGCUUGUGAGCCCACAGAUGGGACAGACACCAAGAGACAAAGGGCCAAAUCCUGCCCCAUCCUGUCCCACUGGGAAUGAACCGAAUCAACAAGACAACUGUGCUGCCAAGGGUGGGACACGGCAGUGCCCAGCCACUCAUGCUGCACUUUGGAUUGAGCAGAAGUAGGAGGAAGCAGUGUUUUACCAUGGAGGAAUUUCCUACCUCCUACCUUGCAAGACCCACCACAGUGACCUCCUGUCCCCAUUAGCUUCACCUUCUCAGCUCAGGCUGGAUCUCAACAUUUUUCCUGAACAUUUUCUCUGUUUCCAGCUAGGAGCAAGGGGUGGCCACUCUCCCAUCGCAGAACUCACAGUGAUAGUUCAUCCUUGUCACAUCCUGGAGAACCCUUGCUGCUCCCCUGCCUUUCUGCUCAGGACCAGAUCAUUCAGGGACCAAGUACUACCUGGCCACCACUUGCAUAAAUGUGCUGCAGCACUGGGGGGUAUCUGAACCUUUCCUGGCAGUGCAUACAGUCUCCUGGAGAAGAAAUUAUAAGAACACCAUCAUUCAGUUCUGGGGAGGUAAACCAGAGAGAUGGAAGUGACUUGUACUUCCAUCUCAGCCAUUCAUCUCCAGGUUGCACUGGGCUGAAAAUGCCAUGAGGGUUUUGCAGGCAGAUAGAUCUCUGAUCCUUCAUUAGCUGAGCCCAGCUGAACAUCUCCAUUCCUGCCUUGUUAGGAGCUGUGGCCCCUGCAAAGGUAAGUCAGGAUUCAAGAUGGAUGCAGGGAAGAAAGGGCAGACCUCCAAACACCAGUAUUUUUCUGAGCCCCAAGGGUAUAGGUGAAGAAGUGCAUCUGCUGGCUUGAAGUGGAUAUUGUUACUGGAAUUUGGGAUGCCUUUUGGAUUAAGCAUCAUGCAGCACUCACAAUGCUCCACUUAGCUGACAUGUCUGAGCUCUGCCUGAAAAUCUGAUCUCCCUGUCAUUACUCCUAAAGCUGUCUUUGCCUCUCCUUCUUUCUUUUCUGAUUCUUUUCAUCCUGGCCAGUUGUAACAUGCACCUCCCUGUUAUGUUCUUCAGAUGCGCUGCUCUGUUUUUACUUGAACUAAAUAAUACUCUGUGCUCUUUUCUCCCCCUUUCCCAGCAUUGGCCCUUCCCCCAAAUUCCUGGUGCAGGCAGUUGUUUUCUAUGGUUUUGCUUCAGCUGAGUUUGGUUAUUAAAUGUGUUUUCUUCUUUCCAGGGAGACUCCUAGUCCAGCUUCUGAGCUGCUUUUUCAACACAUGGAGUGUUUCCAUGUCUUUCCUCCACCCCAAGAAGAUUUUGUUGUAUCUUUAAAAAGGUAGCAGUAACCUUGGACGUCUCUAUUUCUGUCCCAUUUUCUAAGGACACGAGGUUUAGUUAAGGGUACUAUGUGUGAACAUAGUUGCUAGUUCCCUCACAACUUGAACCCAUCAACCAAAUUUAAUGAAGGUGGACAGAGGGUCAGAGGGUUCAAAGACUUCAGUUUCUGAAAAGGAAGGUGUCUGCCUAACUGAAAGGCAGAAUAAACACUGAUUGUUGGGCUAAAAACUCAAAAAUAUGAUCUAAGGGUUACAGUACCAAAGGGAAAUUAAGAGAAUGCAUUUAUUUUUCUUUCAAACCUCAUGCUUUGGAAACUAUAAAGUCUCAUGGAGGGACCUGACUCUUGACUUUUAAACCCUUGGGUAUGGAAGUGGUCAUGUUGGAGUCUCCUUGCAGCCAGGAGUAGUUAAUAGACCAUCUCAACCCCCGGAGGGUAGAGCCUCCUCCUUCCUGCUGGUUCCCUGCCAUGCCAUUCCCAGAGACAGGAAAAUGCUCCCAGCAUGGAGCUGUGCUAUUGUGUCCAAAUAUGUGAUACAGGAGCCAGGGGGGACAGCAUGGAACAAAGCAGAUGAAAGAGCUGGGUGAACCAGGUGAUCCUGGGCAUGUCUCUUUACCUACCUGUCUCUACUUCUUUACUCAUUCUGCAGAAAUCCUUGAUGGGGCGGGGGUUUCCCUGAUGUGUUUGUACAGCACAUACUACUACAGGCACCAGGCUGAGCGUGCAGGGAGGGAGUGCACCAGACCCUAAAACAAAAUAGUUAUGGGCACAGCAAUCACACAGGAUCACCUUGGAGAGCAAAGGGGACAGCCUGUCUUGGAGGAGUCAUCGCUCCAGGGCUUUGUUCCUUGGAUGGGUUCACCUUGGCUAGGGUUUGUCUCAUAGGCACUCAUCCCGAACAACACCGAGGAGAUAAAAAGCUAAGGCGGGGUAAGAGAAAGAAACGCAAGAGCAGGCAGGAAAGGA